Spinacia oleracea (spinach) is the source of this 2785-nucleotide RNA transcript. It is a transcript of the gene named L-galactono-1,4-lactone dehydrogenase, mitochondrial, with no coding region annotated. The transcript has 8 exons. The record is from RefSeq and is a predicted model, not a curated record. NCBI's taxonomy places the organism in Eukaryota, Viridiplantae, Streptophyta, Magnoliopsida, Caryophyllales, Amaranthaceae.
AAAAAAAACAAAAAAACAAAAAAAGCAAACAGAACUUGCGAAAAUCAACAAAACUAUAUUUUCACGCUUACAAUCUGUGUCAAGUGUCAACACUGUAUAGUCCGUGGAUCACCACCUCUCCUCCACCACCAAAAUGCACCGAGUAACCAAUCUCCGACGAUUUAUUCCCUCUCUCCUCCACCACCAUCACCACCGCCAUUUACACCAAAACACCAACCCGAUCAAAUCCCUCACCUCCGCAAACUCAACCAUCCUCCAAAACCCCGCCUUACACCCCCGCUCAUUCUCUUCUCUCUCCUCUGACCCUACGGCCUCCACCACCGCCGAAAUCCGCAAAUACAUCGGAUACUCCCUCCUCCUCCUCGGUUGCGGCGUUGGAACCUACUAUUCCUUCCCUUUCCCGGAAAACGCCAAGCACAAAAAAGCCCAACUCUUCAAAUACGCCCCUCUCCCCGAAGAUCUUCAUACCAUCUCUAAUUGGAGUGGUACCCAUGAGGUCCAUACCCGCAAUUUCAUUCAACCGGAAUCGGUUUCGGACCUCGAAAAACUUGUCCAAGAAGCCCAUCAAAAGUCCCAGAAGAUUCGGCCUGUUGGGUCGGGUCUUUCUCCAAAUGGGGUUGGGCUUUCUCGGGCUGGCAUGGUGAAUUUGGGCUUGUUGGAUAAGGUAUUGGAGGUUGAUAAGGAGAAGAAGACUGUUAGAGUUGAAGCUGGUAUUAGAGUUCAGCAGCUUGUUGAUCAAAUUAAGGAGUACGGACUUACUUUGCAAAAUUUUGCUUCUAUUAGGGAGCAGCAGAUUGGUGGCAUUCUUCAGGUUGGUGCUCAUGGCACUGGUGCAAGAUUGCCACCUAUUGAUGAGCAAGUUAUUUCCGUGAAACUGGUCACUCCUGCCAAGGGAACUAUAGAGCUAUCUAAAGAGAAAGAUCCGGAGCUAUUUUAUCUUGCUCGUGUUGGUCUUGGAGGACUCGGAGUAGUGGCUGAAGUCACCCUUCAGUGUGUUGAUAGGCAGGAGCUUGUAGAGCACACCUAUAUCUCUAAUAUGGAUGAGAUAAAGAAAAAUCACAAGAAACUACUCUCUGAAAAUAAGCAUGUAAAGUACUUGUAUAUCCCAUACACGGAAACUGUUGUGGUUGUGACAUGCAACCCUGUAUCAAGGUGGAGCCGUCCAAAGAAUUUCAAACCUAAAUACACUAAAGAUGAAGCACUUCAACAUGUACGAGAGCUGUACAGGAACUCACUGGAGAAAUAUAGAGUUUCUCCCACAGAAAAUUAUCCAGACAUAAAUGAGCUAUCAUUUACAGAGCUUAGAGACAAACUUCUUGCUAUAGAUCCCGCAAAUGCAGAACAUAUCAUUGAAGUGAAUCAAGCUGAAGCUGAAUUCUGGAAGAAAUCUGAGGGAUAUAGAGUGGGUUGGAGUGACGAAAUCUUAGGUUUUGAUUGUGGAGGUCAGCAGUGGGUCUCAGAGACAUGUUUCCCAGCUGGAACCCUAGCAAAACCUAACAUGAAGGACCUCGAGUACAUUGAGAAACUGAAGCAGCUGAUAGAGAAGGAAGGAAUUCCUGCACCAGCUCCCAUUGAACAACGAUGGACAGCUCGGAGUAAGAGCCCUAUGAGUCCAGCUAGCUCAUUAGAUGAUGACAUAUUCUCUUGGGUUGGUAUCAUCAUGUACCUCCCGACAUCGGAUCCUCGCCAGAGGAAGGAGAUAACCGACGAAUUCUUUCACUAUAGAUUUUUGACACAAUCUCGGUUGUGGGAUCUUUACUCUGCUUAUGAACAUUGGGCAAAGAUUGAGAUUCCGAAAAACAAGGAAGAGCUUGUGGAUUUGCAAGCAAGGUUAAAGAAGCGGUUUCCGGUGGAUUCAUACAACAAAGCACGAAAGGAGUUGGACCCAAAUAGGAUCCUGUCAAAUAACAUGCUUGAGAAGCUCUUCCCGUUAUCAGAAGACGUAUGAAAAGCAUUCAGCAUACGUUAGUUGUACAUCAGAAGAUAAAAUGAAUGUCAGAUAGCCAUCACUCAUCAGGUCAUCUCCCUAAACUUAGUAGAGGCUCCCCCUAUCAAGAUGGGUUGACUGUAUAAUGCAACCAUGGGCCUCUUCUACUAUGCUUUCAAACACGAGUGGACGAAUUCUUGACACCUUCUGGACGAUAGAUGGAUCAUUUUUCCUUGUGUCCAAUAAGCCAGUUCUUUCAAGACAUGGAAGAACACAUAUUCAUUCACCUGAACUUUGCACCAUCUUCACCAAAAGGCACACUAUUAUUGAGGUAAUUCAUUAAUCGACAGACAAAGUGUCCAUAAGUACAUAUUGAGACCUGGGAGAUCUCCGACUUGUGCAACACCUUUCGUAAUAGGAGAUCUUCCAACUCCUUCGAGUCUUUAACCCUAACUCAUUUGGAUGAGCAAGGGAAGCAAGAAGCAUUUUGAAGAAAAGGCUUACUGUUGUUUGCCCACGAGAGGUGUCCCGUCUAGGGUUUCAAUAAUUGGGAAGGAGAUAAGGAUUCAUACAGGUUUAGGGUGUAUCAUCAACUCGUCGAUCGGAACAAUUCGUGCGCAGAUUGUGAAGGGCUCGACUUGAAAAGAUGCGAAAACAUCAAAAAUCACUGCUCGCAUCAAGCUAGAAGCGGUGGAGUACGAACUGUGCUUUAGGAUGCAAAUUAGUAAUUGUUUUGAUUGUAAAAGUGAUGUAUUUUAUUUGAAUAUGUGGUAUGCAGAUCUUUUUUAUCAUUGUAGAUGUCGUAUGACUGAUUAUUAAUGAUAUUGUUCUUCCCCAUAAAAAAAAAAACUACAUAAA